UACGCCUGAGUUUCCUGUCUAUAACGCAGGAGUGGGGUCUGCCCACUGUGACAUUUCCUCCUUUUAUAACAUGGCUGGGGCAGUCCUUCCAAGAGGGCUGACCGAGGUGUGGACCGCUCAGCCCGGCGGGGUCCACGGGGCUCUGCAGCGAGCCUGACCACGGGGUCCAGAGGGAGGACGGUGGCAGCCAGAGGGAUGGAGGGGAUACAGGGAAAAGCGGCGCUGAAAAGCCAAGUUCGAGUUUCCCAGGAUGUGACAGCCGACUUCUCCCAGAACAAGUGAUCCAAAGAGAAGCAAUCAAGACAGAAACCUCAGGGCCUUUUAUGACCCAGCCUCCAAAGCCACACCCACCACUGCCACUUUAUUUGCUUGAAGCGAGCACUGAGUCCGGCCCCCACCCAAGGCAAGGGGAACAGGUUCCAUCUCUUGGAGGGAGGAGUACUUGAAGGGAGUAUUUGUGGACAUAUUUUAAAUCCUCCAGAUAAUCUAACAUUCAGUAAGUACUUUAGACAUCAACAGAUUAUCACGUUAACAUAUUUAGGGCUGAGGAAUGUUUUCUCUGUGAGCUUGGAGCUUUUUGCCCGCCUCUGAGCAAUGACCACUGGGAUCAGGUAGAUAAAAUUAUGUCAAAGCAUUAUCACAAUCUAUUGUCUGUGUCCACAUUCACUCUAAUAAUAGCCGUAUUACCUGCCUCCCUCCCAAACCCACCCACAACCUACUCCAGUCCUUGCAGAAAACCCUUAUCCUUUCCUCUCUCAUGAGCAUAGGAAAUGCCAUAUCCCACAGCAGGGCUACCUUCCAACCAUAGCGGAAUGUUUUUGAUGUGGCCCCUGUCAAAAGGUGUGGAAAGCUCAAGGAAGCUCGUACUUACGAUGAGGACGUUCACAUCUCUUUUCAUCCACCCACUCCCUCCUCCUCAGCCCAGCCCUUGCUCACCACCAGCAGCGUCGGCUCACUCUGCACUGGCUGCAGACUGACCGCACCAAGGUGGGACCUCUUUGUCUGGCCCUAGGAGGUAAGUAAGGUGUGGGCUGGCUGGGCUGGCCUGGCCCAGACUAGGGUGGGCAUGUGAGGUCCCUAGGCUACAGAAUGUCUUUCAAGAGGUGCUCGCAUUCAGGUGCGAACCCUGUACUUGCAUGACCCUGAGAGCGAGCGCUCCUUAAAUGGAGUACCUAGGCCCUUGCUCACCUCACGCUGUUCGCAGCCCUGGAGCCAGUCCUGGGCACUGCCCUCUGUAGGUUAUCCUGAAUCCAAUCAGACAGUCAGACUUGCAGACCUGACUAGCCCGACAUGACUUCAGCUCCCCUAGAAGGAUACACAGAAGACGGUGUGCCAGCACCCUCUCGGCAGUCCAAGGGCUGUUCUUCUGUCCUCCCAUGUAACUGUCCCUGUGCAAGGAAAUGAAACCUGAAUGGAUGGGUGCCGAAGCCACCCUGGGUUAGAUGUUCCCUGUCCCAUAGGGGAACCAAGCUCUUGUGACAGUUCUUUCAAGUUAACAGGGUCAUCACAUAACCCAAGGAAACCCAAAGCUAUAGCUUCCUGCCAGGUAUUGGUGUCCAUUUAUGGUCCUCCCAGAGAAGAUGCAGGUCAUCAACCAGGGGCCAUUUUCACCGUGAGCAGCGUCCCAGGCAACACAGCUGACAUUGCACCUUUAUCAAGUCUCUAGGAGACCAGAGCCAGAAGCAGCUCAGCCCAAGGCCACGUCCAUCCUGCUGAGGAGUAAGGAGACUCCAUUUCUCCCCAAUCAUGCUCUCUAGCACUGCCACCUGCUGGAUCCCAGGUUACCCCUUCAGCCUCAUUUCUCCUGCUUCCCUGAGAGCUGGUAAUGCAAAGGCACAUGGGUGGUGGGUGGGGGUCUCUGCUGUGCAGUGUCUGAGCCUCAGAAGCUCAGGUCCAAAAAUUGGAGGGUUGGAUCAGCUUUCUGAAAGCUGAUGAGUCUCUGUUCAGAGCUGCUGUCCAGUCUUCCUAGGGACUGUGGGUGCUCUGAAAACAUUUGUUUAAUUAAGCAAUUAAUUAAUUGAUGAGCUCUUAGAAUGUACCUGCCCCCAGGCUGGGUAUUUUGUAUCAAUCAUGUCUGAAUCCCAUCACAUUCCAACAAAGUGGUUCCAGCAUUUUUCACACUGCAAGAUGGCAGAACUGAGUCAUGGCAGCUUAUGUGGAUUAUUCAUCAAGUGACAGAGCUGAGAUUUGAACUGAUAACGUCUGACUCUAAACAUCCACUCUGGGCCUUUGUGGCUUGAAGAUGCCACUUCCCUUGUGAGCAGCUCAUGCCUGGACCAGGAGAGCAGAUGAGCAGGCAUCCACAUACAAGUGGGCUGAUGAAAGGAUGUCCAACCAGAGAUGCUCCUCUGUCCCAUCCCCAUACACAUGUCCUUCCUUCCCCAGGCUGGAAAGGACGGAGCAGCUACUGGAGUUGACACCAUCUGCAUCCACCAUCCUGACCCUGUGGACCUCACGCUGGACAUGGAGUGGCUCUACUGAGAGCUGAGCCACCAGCCCCAUGGUGUCGCCCGGCUUGCACAGGGACUGUCUCUGUGGUGAGCACAUGGUAGGGACAGGGGUCUCCUCCUGCACCCCAGAUGGAUUCUUCUCUUGGUGCUCUGAGCUCUGGCCAUAGCAUACAUCCACGUCUGCUUCUAGAGUUCUCUCUCCUCACUCUUCUUUUCCUUGUGAGGUCCCUCUUCCCCACCGAGGCCUACGUCACAGAGAGAGAGAGAUGGAAAGUCAGAGAAAGGUUAUAGGAGGCACCGCCAACUGUCUGGAGGGACACAACCUCCUGAUGGCAUCUGUUCGGUCCAGCCCCUCCCUCCCUUCCUUAACCCUUUCAAACCUCCCGCCUCGCUCUUACCUGCUCUCUGCAGUCACACCAGACCAGCCUUGACCUGCCUCCCCAGUGGUUCUGUGACUUCUACACCCUCCUUGAGAACCCCAGAGGCUCCAGUCUCCUCCACCUCUACAGAAAGAGCCUUCUCUCCGUGUCUCCUUCCGUCCCACCUCCACAUCGCCAAGCUUAGCGAUGAGAAGGACCAGAGAGCACACACAGCGCCUGCAGGUGAGCUGGAUGACUGCUUCUGGAGGAUGCCCAAGUGAUGGAGCAGUCGCCUCGGUUCUCCUUCCUGUGACCUCUCAGCAUCCAGCACACCAGCCUCGGCUCGUUCAUGUGGUCACAGAGCUCCCAGAGGGCAAGCCCCAGCACACAGCACUUUUCCAGCCUCUGCUCACCACAUCAGUCCUUCCCAGGUGACCCGCCAGGACCAACUCGUGACCAUGUUGGCCUCAGGGGACCUGGAGGGGUCAGUCAGUGAGGCCAGAUCCAGUGGUACAUUCUGGAACAAUACCCAAAGCUUCACCUUCUGCUAGAAAGAAUGGAAAUAGUCAAGGGCAAACCCAGGCCUAAUUCCCAAGGGCUAAAGGGGUGGGCAGAGAAAGCAACAAUAAUAAAAACAGUGACAACAAAGCAAUGACAGCAGCCUUCACUGAUUGUCACAUAAUGAGGACCCUGCUUUACAGGUCUGACCUUCAGCCCCAGCAGGAACACACUGCUAUUUCUCCAUUUGGGAGAAGCACAGGCUGGUUCCUGGGAGCUCAGUGAUUUUCUGAGGCCACACAGCCAGCAGAGGCACAGGUCUCAACUCUAAGCCAUUCAAACUCUGGAGUCUGAGCUUCCGCCCUAACAUAGCUGUGUGGCCUUGGGGAAGCGACUUAAUCUCUCUGAAACUCAUUUUCAUCCUCUGUCAGUAGGGGGUAAGUAACAGGGCUGCCCUCCAUGGGUGGAACACAGAGAUCCUGGAUGGAAAGUGCUUAGCACAGAGUGUAGCAAGGAGUAAGCACCUACAAACACCAGCUGUUGUUAUUGCUGCUAUUUUUGUUGUCAUUAUUAUUAUCAGUACUAUUAAUAGAAUAAUAAAAUAAAAUUUCCCAUUCUGGGAGGAGACAUUCUGAGCUCCCGCACUAGAUAUGAAUACACUGGGCAACAGGGAUGUGCAUCCAGACUCUCCCCAUGACCCUUAAGUCUAGCCCAGGCAGGGACUCGGGAUGUGACUGCUCUCCCACCCUCACGGCAGUCUCUGGCCCUGCGCUGUCCGCUCACCCUUAACUUCACCAUCACAACCUGCGCUGCGUGGAGGACAUGCAGCCACGGCGCUCGGAGGAGUUCAACAAAAUAGAGAAGGUUUUGCAGCUCCUGGUUCUUCUCUUCCAAGUUUCCCCAGAAAUCAUUGAAAACAUUGUCGAAUGUCAAAACAAGAUAUGCCUGGAUUAUUAUUUUUUUCACCCAAGUUGGAUAGAGCGUGGGCUAAUUUUCAGUCUUCUGUUUCAGUGACAGUGACAUACUGUUCCAGCAGCUUUGUCUGCAGCUGCAGAACCAUUAUUUAGGGCAUCUCCACUCCGCACAAGCUCUUUUGUUCAAGCAGGAGAAGGCUCACCCCAGGGGCUGUCACAGCAGGUGCCAGCACUUCCACCACCUUGGCGUCUCUGAAGGCUUGUUGUUCCCCUGGGCUUCCGUGUGCUUGUAAACUUGGUCCCGAUGACGCUGACUAGGGAACCCUCACAUAGAUGGUUCUAGCUGUUCUGUCUCUCUGACCAAACUGAGUCAUCAGAAAACUCACAUUCAGCAAGAGCUGCAGUGGAUGCCUUUUUUUUAAGAGGCGAAGGACUUCUUCCUCCUGACCCCCCCCCCCCACACACACACAC
Long non-coding RNA from Equus caballus (horse), 4692 nucleotides. Lineage: Eukaryota; Metazoa; Chordata; Mammalia; Perissodactyla; Equidae. The record is from Ensembl.